UGAGCCGUAUGAUGGGAAACUAUCACGUACGGUUCUUAGAGGAGUGAGCUGUGGCAACACAGCUUGCUUACUC
This 73-nucleotide non-coding RNA is filed under the name zebrafish metagenome. The record is from RNAcentral.